This 468-nucleotide ribosomal RNA is filed under the name uncultured bacterium. RNAcentral describes it as "partial 16S ribosomal RNA". It matches the Rfam family "Bacterial small subunit ribosomal RNA", at positions 28 to 507 of the family's 1533-position model. The record is from RNAcentral.
GACGAACGCUGGCGGCGUGCUUAACACAUGCAAGUCGAACGGAAAGGCCCUGCUUUUGUGGGGUGCUCGAGUGGCGAACGGGUGAGUAACACGGGAGUAACCUGCCCUUGACUUUGGGAUAACUUCAGGAAACUGGGGCUAAUACCGGAUAGGAGCUCCUGCUGCAUGGUGGGGGUUGGAAAGUUUCGGCGGUUGGGGAUGGACUCGCGGCUUAUCAGCUUGUUGGUGGGGUAGUGGCUUACCAAGGCUUUGACGGGUAGCCGGCCUGAGAGGGUGACCGGCCACAUUGGGACUGAGAUACGGCCCAGACUCCUACGGGAGGCAGCAGUGGGGAAUAGUGCACAAUGGGCGGAAGCCUGAUGCAGCAACGCCGCGUGCGGGAUGACGGCCUUCGGGUUGUAAACCGCUUUCGCCUGUGACGAAGCGUGAGUGACGGUAAUGGGUAAAGAAGCACCGGCUAACUACGUG